Molecule: ribosomal RNA, 119 nt
Filed under: Gouania willdenowi (blunt-snouted clingfish)
Lineage: Eukaryota; Metazoa; Chordata; Actinopteri; Blenniiformes; Gobiesocidae
Source: RNAcentral
GCUUACGGCCAUACCGCUCUGAUCAAGCCCGAUCUCGUCUGAUCUCGGAAGCUAAACAAAGCCGGGCAUGGUUAGUACUUGAAUGGGAGACUGUCUGGGAAUACCUUGUGCUGUAAGUU